This 775-nucleotide ribosomal RNA is filed under the name uncultured Neocallimastigales. RNAcentral's name for it is "partial large subunit ribosomal RNA". It matches the Rfam family "Eukaryotic large subunit ribosomal RNA", at positions 23 to 633 of the family's 3401-position model. Lineage: Eukaryota; Fungi; Neocallimastigomycota; Neocallimastigomycetes; Neocallimastigales. The record is from RNAcentral.
AGAGAGAGACAUGCGCGCAUAUCAAUAAGCGGAGGAAAAGAAACUAACAAGGAUUCCCCUAGUAACGGCGAGUGAAGCGGGAAGAGCUCAAAUUUGAAAUCUUCAAGGUUCUACCUUGACGAAUUGUAGUUUAAAGAAGUGUUUUCUGUUGGAAUUUUGGUAAAAGUUCUUUGGAAAAAGACAUCAAAGAGGGUGAGAAUCCCGUAUUUGACCAUUAUUUCUAGCUUUGUGAUACACUUUCAACGAGUCGGAUUGUUUGGGAAUGCAGUCCAAAAUGGGUGGUAAAUUUCAUCUAAAGCUAAAUAUUGGCGAGAGACCGAUAGCGAACAAGUACCGUGAGGGAAAGAUGAAAAGAACUUUGAAAAGAGAGUUAAACAGUACUGUGAAAUUGUCAAAAGGGAAGCGUUUGACACCAGUGUUGUUUUCUCGGAAAUCAAUUAAAAAUGGCCGGAUUUUGUGUUGUAUUGACUUUAUCAGCUUUCUGCACUUUUUUCUUGUCUUUUUUAAUGCACUUUUCGUUUAACAAGUCAACAUCAAUUUCUUUUGUUGUAAAAGGGUCAUUGGAAGGUGGCUUUCUUUUCGGAGAAAGUGUUUAUAGCCUUUGGCCUCUGCAAUCGGAGAGAUUGAGGUCUGCAGCGUAGAUCCUUCGGGGUUAGAUGCAUUUGUGCUAAGUUAUAGCCUUUCAUAGACAACUUGUUGACUAUGAUCAGUCAUGUAGCUUACUCGCUUAUGUCAUUUUACCUACGCUUAGGAUGUUGACAGCAGUAUAGACUGU